Triticum aestivum (bread wheat) is the source of this 5322-nucleotide long non-coding RNA. RefSeq lists it as uncharacterized. The transcript is spliced from 4 exons. The record is from RefSeq and is a predicted model, not a curated record. Lineage: Eukaryota; Viridiplantae; Streptophyta; Magnoliopsida; Poales; Poaceae.
UAUUGUUUGGAUUAUUCAACCCGUGGUCCGAGCAGAUUUUUGUAAAGAGAAAAAAAGACCAUAGGAGGAGCACGGGCUCGCCUCCUCUCCCUCUCGCCCAAGUCCUCGUCGCUGCCGCCGCCACCACCACCCACGCUGUGGCAAUCUCCGGCGAGCUCCGGCGCCGCACAACACGCCCCAGAGCUCCCCACGGUCCGCGUCUCCCUCCCCUCGGGCCAGAUUCUGCGCUCCCGACCUCUACCGCCCGGUCGCAACGCCACCCCUGUGGCUAGGGUUUGGGGCAGGGCUUCACCGCCGCGUCUCCGGCGGCCCCGGGUUCGUCCCUCUUCCUACCUGGUCGGGAUCCACCACCCCUACACCUCACCUUCGAUGCCAUGGGAGUUCCCCAUCCACCAUGGUCGUCGCCGUCAAGGGCUUCUUCACGAAGAUGUGAAGGACGCCAUGGACCUGCAGCUCCUUUUCUCCUCCACCACGGACGCCGCCUCACCCUUUCAAGCCGCCAGGCACCCUACAAACGGGUCGGCCUACAGCUCCUCCGCUCCUCUGCCAUCUUGAGAUGCACCUGGAUCUGGGCGAUUUCAGGGCCUUCAUGGCUUUAGAAUCGGCCUCUCGUUCGGGAUCAGUUUGGAUCUAGGACAAGCCAACCAUGCUGCUGCGCCAAGCUCCUCUUGAUAUAGUUUACAUGAAUGCUAUCCUGGAGAAGGCAAAUAUCAGGAGCAAAUAAAAUCAAUCCCUGUACAAAUAAAAACACUCCCUGCAAUCUAUCAUUUUUUUGAGGAAUUAGCCACAUUAGAGUAGUUGAUACAUUGGAUGAGUAUUCAGAAGGUGCAGUCAAUUUGUCCUUUGGCAUCUAGCCCUCCUGUUGGUAUAAUAAUGCAAAUUGCCUUUUUUUUUAAAAAAUUGGUCCUUCAUUUCUUUUCUUCGAGUUAUCUGUGUAUCUUUUAAGCUUUUGCUAGGCGAGGAAAGGUGGACCAAGUAGUCUAGCAGAACCAAUUGCAUUUUUGGGGUAUUGGCUUCAGAUUGGAGUGGGAAGGUAUGGAUAUGUGUUCUUUCCACAAGAAGAACAAUGAAUACUACUACAAUCUUUUCUAGCAUGGUUUGUUCUCAGCCACGUGAGUUUUAUAAUCCUUCUAAAACAGUCACUUCCUUUCAUAUGAAUGCACUUUUAGCAGAUGAUAUUCUGACUGGUCUGCUAUAUUUUGUUCAUGAAGACGUUCAUGUUUACUCCCUGUUCAAUUCAAGUCUGAAAGAUUCAUAUUUGGGUAGACAGGUUUCACUGAUUGAAAAUAUUUGAGAUGCUCUUUUUGAUGUAUGGCAAUAUGCUAUCUCAAAUAUGGUAGACGAGGAAUACGGGCUCUUUUGAAGAUAAAUAAACUAGAUAAAAAAGAAUUGAAAUAGCCAAGCAAGUUUCAUUGCAUGUUAAUUAUAUGGUCUGCUGUACUGAACCUUUUUCUGCAAUUUUCUUAUUUGUUCUGCUUGAAAAAGCUAACACUGAUCUUUUGCUACGUUUUGUGUUAAUGAGUAAAUGUUUUGUACAGAAAAUCAGUGCUAGAGAUUAGAAUUGCCUCAUAUAUAAUACUCCAUCUGUCUCAUUAUAUAAGACAUUUUUUCACGAGGUAGUACCAAAUAUGCCUUUAUGUGCUUUCUUCAACAAGUCAAAUGUGUGACUGACCUCCACCCACCUCCCCAUUCUCAACAAGCACCAGGACGUGACUUCGGUUCUGCCAAGUAGGUUUUAAUAAACAAAUCCUUCCUAAAUUAUGAGCUGUUUUCUUACUGAGCAAACAGAAUGCCCAACAUUCCAAUUUGUGAUGUUAAGGCUAACAAGAGAUGCAUAUAUCAUAUUUAACAUACUAUCUGCACUCUUCCUAAUUUAGUUUUUUUUUGCUUGUCCAGAAAGAAUAAAUUGGUGUUUGAUUUGACUACAACCCUACGAUGUUUGCUCUGAAAGGCAUGUACUUUAAAAAAAGACAUGAUGUGCAUUUGCAUAGUUUGACAAAUUCCGAUCAAUGAACUGUAUUUUGUUUUCUGUUUUCAUUGUAACAUCAACCUUACGUGGUUCUUCUUAUCAAUGUUUGAACUGAAGUUAUACAAUAGAGGGCAUGUACUUGAUUGUUUUAGUGUCAAUAUAUUCAGAAGACAUGGAUCCAUCACAGAAGGAGUAGAGGAAGACCAUGGAAAGGAGGAGUUACUAGGAGCAGAAUACUGGGAGGAGGUGUUGUCGCCAGCCUCACGUUGAUGUGCGGUACUUGCGCCUCUCUGCUUCAUGUGGACACAGGCACCAAACUAGAACUUUUCCAUGUUGUUAUUUGGUGUUUAGAAAGUGUUUAUCUGUAAGCUACAUUAAUACACUAUAUAGUAGUCCCACAACGUUUUGCAUAUGAAUAGUUGUAGAAGAAACAUGAUAACAGGUUUCUUUUGUUGCUAACGUGUAGAGUUACUGUACAAAUGCAUUUUUGCUACAGAUUUACGGGUCAUUAUUUAGCUAUUUCGGUUCCUCCUUAUGAAUAGAUUUUUCUAUCUAUAUGGCGGAAGAUAAUAUAGACCUCUAUUUGUAAACAUCCAUAUAGUUUGUGGAAAAUGGAAAACCUUACUUUUUUUGUUAUCUUUAUGAAAAUACUAUUAUCUCUUUUUAGCCCUUUACUAUUACUUCCAAAAGAGUUCUUUUUAGUGACAUGCAACUUUCUCCUUGAUGAGCAAUGAUCUGGUUAUCUUGAUAAAGACUGCUAAUUCAGGUUAUUUGUAUGAAUAUUUUUAUCAAUUAUAAUUAAUAUUGUUUUGUUGCUUGUGGUAAGCCUCCCCACUUUGUAAUGAUCAAUAUAUAUGCCCGUACUUCAAGAAUUUGUUGUUAUCAGUGCUACAUUUGGUCUGCUGAUAUGCCAUGAAUUUUGCUUUAUUUCCAUUUUUCAUUUGAUGCAUGGAAGCAGUUUAUCUAUUUGGAUGAAUUAGUUUGACAAUUACACAGAAAUCUAUGUGCCACGAUGUUUAGAAUAGCAAGUUUUCUAAUUAACAAAUGACGGCAAGCUAAACAUUCAGCCUGAAACCACACGAAAGCUAAUAUAGAAUCUCAUUCUGCAAAGCUACCUUCCGAUGGGCAAUAACAACCGCACUGCAAGCACCGAAGCGAAUAUCUUGGUGCCUUUGGGGCAUCACAUCUAUGUUGCUAAUACUAUUUUUGAAGUUGUUGGCACGGUUUGGCCAGUUAGGCCUUGGGACCGGCUGCACUAUUAUUGCUGUUGUUGCGCUCAGUGGGCCAGCCCACUGAGCAUUGCCGAACAGAUUCUCAUUUUUCAAAUAAAGAAAAAGGAAGAGAAAAGAAUAAUAUCCCCUCAAAUAUUUUCUGAUUGAGCUAAAAAUUUCCAAACAUUAUGACUUUUAGACUAAGUUAAAUAAAUCAUAAAAUCUUUGUGGAUUCGAAAAAUGUUCGCAAUUCUGAAAAAAAAUGCUUGAGAAAUCAAAAAAUGUUCACGAGUUUUCAAAAAGUUCCUGUAUUAAAAAUGUUAAGCAAAUUGAACAAAUGUUCACCAAAAUAUUAUUGGUGAAGCAGCAAAGUAUGUUCAUGGCCUUUAGAAAUUAUGAUUUUUUUCUCCCGUUGCAACGCACGGACCUUUUUACUAGUAACAAAUAAAGAGAAUUGGAUUUCUGUCGUCCGUCGUCGCGACAGUUUUACAAAAAAGUCCCUAUGGUUUUAGAUAAUAGAACCCGCAGUCCCUAUGUAAGUGGAUCUAGCAAAACGAUUCAUUUUUGCACAUUAAUCCCUGCAUUUUGUAACAAUUUCGCCCGCACUCCUUUGUUCAUCUUAUCCAGCGGCAGAGAUGUUGGAAGGGGGGAGGCUGCUGUCGUCGACGAGCUCGUCGGCGCGGAAGGUGCCCGCCCCUCUCCUCCGCCUCCAGCAUCGCCGGAACCCUACAGGCCUUGCAGCCCUUGCGCACGCGCACGGACGUGGUCGAGGCAGGGGAUUGAGGAGGCAACGGACAGAGGCGACUUCAGCAGACAGACUUGGCGAGGCGGCGGAGGCGCAGGGAGUCCCUGCGGCACCGGAUCCGACGAGGAUGGACGCCGGCAACGUGGGCGAGGAGGAGGGCUCCGGCGGCAGAGAACCUCCAGGGGGCGACUGCUUGCAGUUCGACGUCGGCCUCCUGUAGGUAACAGAGAAAGAGAGAGUUGGUUUUUGUGAGAGAGAAGAGAAGAACGAGGGAAAGGAGGAGAAAGGGAGAAGGAAGAGAGGCAGGGCGGCCUGGAGGAGCUGUUGUUGCUGCGCUGGAACGAGGAGGAUGCACACGGGUCGGAGACGACGCGCGGGCAGGGGAGCUCCUACAUGGACGCCAUUGAGCUUGUGGCAAGGAGCAAUGACAAGCAGCAGCAGCAGCGGUGGCAAGCAGAGGCAGCGGACAACAGCAGUAGAUGGCAGAAACGGGAGGCAGCGGCGCCAACGGGCAGCAGAAGCAGAGGGCUGCUGCCACAACAGAGGUAUGUAUCCCCUUAAAAGCAGCAAGCAUCAGCCUUCUGUUCUUUGUGUUCUGUGUAUAGAUGUGUAGUACUCCCUGAUCAACAGAGGGAGUAGUAACCAAGAAGCAGCAGGAACAAAAUCGCAGCAGCAGGCUGCUGCUCUCCUCCCUGAUCCCCUGUAUAUGAAAUAGCAGUAGCGCAUGAGUGAAUGAAGCAAUCAAUUUCUGAAUUACAGACAGCGUACAGAUUUUCUGAAUCAAAACAAAAUCAAGCAUAUACUGUAGGUUGUUCUAUUGUUGAUCCAACCACAUGCUCUAUUUCUGCAUGCCAUGGAAGUUUUACUUUCAAAUCCUCUUUUUCUGCACGACAAUUGAAAAGAAUGCAGGAGUCGAAGAAUGAACAAAAUUGCUUUGAACUUCACAUCAGCAGACUAAAUUCCUAAUGGCAAAAACUUUUUAGUACUACAGGAUAUACCUUCAGAGUUUAUGACAGUUCUAAUAAACAUAUGAUGUUGAUUGGUUAGCUGAGUUAGAAGUAGAGCUAUUCAAAUAUAUUUACUUUGGUGAGUGCACAAAAUCCUUAUACUCCUAGCUAUAUGUUUAUCCUAUAUCUACUUCUCACAUUAUACAUAUGCUCCACUACAAAGGGGUCUAAAUAAUAGCAUGAUUUUUUUUCAGUUAAAGUUCCAAGCAACUUUCCUGUGUGAAUCUGAGAAUCUCACUAAAACCUGUGUUUCAUUGUGUAUAUUCAGCCUAUCGUGUCGAGUUUCAGACUGAUCAUAAACAUACCUCAGUUUAAGAUGUGAUGCUGAUUUGAUUUGUGUGCUGCACCAUCGUCCAUAUCUUCGAUUUCAAGCAGUUCAAUGGCAAAUCA